RNAcentral lists this transfer RNA (74 nucleotides) under Sphingobacteriales bacterium. RNAcentral's name for it is "tRNA-Gln". It matches the Rfam family "tRNA". From Rfam's summary of the family: Transfer RNA (tRNA) molecules are approximately 80 nucleotides in length. Their secondary structure includes four short double-helical elements and three loops (D, anti-codon, and T loops). Lineage: Bacteria; Pseudomonadati; Bacteroidota; Sphingobacteriia; Sphingobacteriales. The record is from RNAcentral.
AGUUCAAUGGUGUAAAGGUAGCACAACAGUUUUUGGUUCUGUUUGUCUUGGUUCGAAUCCAGGUUGAACUACGA